This is a long non-coding RNA of Ruditapes philippinarum (Manila clam), 395 nucleotides long. RefSeq lists it as uncharacterized. The record is from RefSeq and is a predicted model, not a curated record. The transcript has 2 exons. Lineage: Eukaryota; Metazoa; Mollusca; Bivalvia; Venerida; Veneridae.
UUUUGUUUUCAGACCGCUCAGGGCUAGAAUCUCCAGAGAAAGUCGAGGCAGUGCAGGAACCAGUAUUAGAAGCAUUAAAACACUACAUUAAAUCACGGCGGAAAGAUCAGCCUCAGGUUUAUGCAAAAAUGUUGAUGAAAAUAACUGAUCUCAGGAGUAUAAGUGUUAAAGGUGCAGAACGUGUUUUACAUUUACGUCUGGAAAUGCCUGGUGAAUUACCUCCCCUGAUAAUAGAAAUGCUGGACAGAACAGAAAAUGUGUGUAUACCUUGAGAGAAGACAUAGUGUUUCUAGAUUUGAUAGAAAAUUAUUGCUGGAUCAAUUUUGGCUGAACAUUUCAUAUGACUAAAGCUGAAAGGGGAAGACUUCCAGAAUUAGGAGCUAAAUUCAAUGGUG